RNAcentral lists this ribosomal RNA (201 nucleotides) under uncultured bacterium. RNAcentral's name for it is "partial 16S ribosomal RNA". It matches the Rfam family "Bacterial small subunit ribosomal RNA", at positions 1300 to 1500 of the family's 1533-position model. The record is from RNAcentral.
ACAGCCUGCAACCCGGCUGUAUGAAGCUGGAAUCGCUAGUAAUCGCAGAUCAGAAUGCUGCGGUGAAUACGUUCCCGGGUCUUGUACACACCGCCCGUCACACCAUGGGAGCCAGGAAUGCCCGAAGCCAGUGGCCUAACCGCAAGGGAGGAGCUGUCGAAGGCAGGCCCGGUAACUGGGGUGAAGUCGUAACAAGGUAAC